CGUUGUUCGGAAUCAUUGGGCGUAAAGGGCGCGUAGGUGGUUCUGUAUGUCUACCGUGAAAGCGUACGGCUCAACCGUAUUUUGUCGGUAGAAACUGCAGGACUUGAGGCUGGGAGGGGCUGGUGGAAUUCCCUGUGUAGCGGUGAAAUGCGUAGAGAUGGGGGAGAACACUCGUGGCGAAGGCGGCCAGCUAGACCAGUUCUGACACUGAGGCGCGACAGCGUGGGGAGCAAACAGG
RNAcentral lists this ribosomal RNA (238 nucleotides) under uncultured bacterium. RNAcentral's name for it is "partial 16S ribosomal RNA". It matches the Rfam family "Bacterial small subunit ribosomal RNA", at positions 539 to 776 of the family's 1533-position model. The record is from RNAcentral.